RNAcentral lists this transfer RNA (72 nucleotides) under Plantactinospora soyae. It matches the Rfam family "tRNA". Rfam says of the family: Transfer RNA (tRNA) molecules are approximately 80 nucleotides in length. Their secondary structure includes four short double-helical elements and three loops (D, anti-codon, and T loops). The record is from Rfam by way of RNAcentral. Lineage: Bacteria; Bacillati; Actinomycetota; Actinomycetes; Micromonosporales; Micromonosporaceae.
UCCCGGAUCGUCCAACCGGCAGGACGCCUGACUCUGGAUCAGGAGAUCGAGGUUCGAAUCCUUGUCCGGGAG